Molecule: long non-coding RNA, 1434 nt
Organism: Heterocephalus glaber (naked mole-rat)
Lineage: Eukaryota; Metazoa; Chordata; Mammalia; Rodentia; Bathyergidae
Source: RefSeq, a predicted model, not a curated record
GAGGACGAGGAAGCGGGCUGCAGCGGGUACGCCUGGAUGGUGAGUGCCCUCCUUCCCCUCUCCUGCAGCACAGAUGCGGGCGGGAUGGCUAGCUCUGGGGCCUCUGCCUGGCUGGACAGGAAAGUCCACUUCCCUGUGCAGAUGGCAGCCAGGGUGCAGGGCGUGGUACCGACUGGUGUGGAAACUGUGCCGAGGGCACGGCUGAGCGUCGCCACGGAAGACUGCAAACUUUCCUGCUUCUCCCGACACUCAGGUCACCAAGGGGAGACACUGCUACGAGUACGUGGACAGCAAGGACACAUCCCGGGCCAACUGGAUGUGGUGAGGACCGCGCAUGUCCGCUUCUACCGGGGCCCCUGUCCCUCAGAGCCCAGCUCCUUUCCUGCUCGCCCUUGCUCUCUCGCUGCUUUUCGUCAGCUUCUUCUCUUUUUCCUCUGCUCUCUUGCGGGAAACGGCGGCCUGUGCUCCCAGGUUGUCGGGGUGUAAUCAAACUCCUCUCCAGCCUGCAGCUCUGAGCUGCAUCCGCCCCAGGACAGGGUGCCCUCUCCUCAAAGGAGCAGCUGUCCAGAAAUGGGCUGCCCAGUCCACCUCUUCUGCCGCUUGGGGAGGACCCGGGGUCACAUUCAAUUUUAGUGUUAACUGUCGACCAGUCUUGAGUUACGACGUGCGUGCCGGCCGCUCGCGCUUCCAGAUGGGCUCAGGUGCAGACUGAACCCUAAAGCGCCGUGGAAGGAACACGUCAGUGUCCUCUCCCGUGUGGGGCUCACUGAGCAAUCCCGGGCCGGGGUCUCUCAGGACCCUGGGCUCUGCCUGUGGGCAGCAGAGAGACUCUGAAGGCUGUGCAGGGGCUGAGCCUCCACUGACCGACCUGAGUUACAACCAGCGCUGGGGAGCAGAUUGUGUUCCUAAGUCAGGGGUCCCCGGUACUUCAAAAUAAGAUUCAUUUCGCAGGCCUUAGACGCUGAGGAACAGUUUUUAUCCUUUAAAACACUUGUUCUGCUUCCAUCUUGAAGUAUCUCGUGCACAAAUGUCCCACAAAGCACUGCGCCGCGCCGCGGAAAGGCUGUGAGGCCCAAGGGCAGGUUCUCAGCAGCCUCCGGCCUCUCAGUGCUUCCGCUCCCUCUCUCUCGGGGCCCUCGCCUCCUGCCCGGGCUCUGGUGGUGGGAGCGGCGGAGGAGGGACGGGAUUCUCUGUGCUAAGAGGACGCUGCGCUUUGUGCUGGAGAACAGGCCGCAGUGAGACGCCUUUGCAGGGCUGCUCCAGCCUCGUGGUGACGGGAUGACGGCUUAGGGGAAGGCGAAGUCAGCAGGUAAUGUUAUCAAUUUGAGAGACAACAUUUUAACAAUAUUACAGAUACAUCAAACACUACUAUCUCAAUUACAUGAUAAUUGAGUUCAGAAUAAGAUCAAAUGAAAUCCACCGGUAAUCAAAAAC